AGUGAACGCUGGCGGCAGGCCUAACACAUGCAAGUCGAGCGGCAGCGGGUUCCCGCGAGGGGAUGCCGGCGAGCGGCGGACGGGUGAGGAACACAUCGGAAUCUGCCUGGUUGUGGGGGAUAACGUAGGGAAACUUACGCUAAUACCGCAUGAGACCCUGAGUCGACGGACUGGGGGUGAAAGUGAGGGACCUUCGGGCCUCACGCGACCAGAUGAGCCGAUGUCGGAUAGCUAGUUGGCGGGUAACGGCCCGCCAAGGCGACGAUCCGUAGCUGGUCUGAGAGGAUGAUCAGCCACACUGGGACUGAGACACGGCCCAGACUCCUACGGGAGGCAGCAGUGGGGGAAUUGUUCGCAAUGGGCGCAAGCCUGACGACGCAA
Molecule: ribosomal RNA, 381 nt
Filed under: uncultured bacterium
Lineage: Bacteria
Description: bacterial SSU rRNA
Rfam family: Bacterial small subunit ribosomal RNA
Source: RNAcentral